UCUGCAUGGUGUUUUGGGAAACGCAUGUUACAUCUUCGGCCGUUGUAGGAAAGAUGCAUCGUUAAAACACUCGUAAACCUAAGUUCAAUUGCUAUUGGGAAACCGGGCCCAGGUCAAUAGGCUCUUAGCCCUUCCAGUUCUGUUGCUGUACUUAGCCUACCUGACAGCCAACAAACCCCUCUUACUAUGGCUAUUCCAGACACAGCCACUCCCACAGCCUGACACGUACUGAUGAGUGAUACUGCUUAUUUAUCAACAUGAUCUGAUUUUAACAACUUUUCGCAAUCCGUGAAGUCUCUUCUUCAGGGAGACAAAGAUUCUUAUGAUUUUACACUGGCUUCGUACUGCUCAAACAUAACACUGCAACCCUUUCAAAUGUGCCGUUUUGUCCCAGUCGAUCAGAACAGCCUUCUCUAAACCAACUGCACUAAGUGCUAUGAUCAAACCCAAAACAAUCCACCAAGGGAUACCUGCCCCUUGCCUUCUGCAGUAGCCUUGCCCUCCCAGUCCCAGCCAUGUACCAUACACAGUGUUGUUGCUUUGCCUCUGAACAUGUUGCUGUCUUGACUCCGCAUUUGAUCCCCACCAGGUUGACUCAGGAUUGUGACUCAGAUCGAGUAACCUAGAGAGCGGACCUAGAGAGCGGAGAGAAAGGCUGGACAAAAAAAAAAAGUAUGGUCUGGCCUUUCACUCUGUCCGUACGAUCUGCAGUGUGUGCUCACCUCAGUCGCUCGCUCUCUCGUCAGUCUGGCCCGAUGCCCAAGUUCAAAACAGACCGCCUCGUGUGUCAGGAAAAAACAUCCUCUCACACACACUGAGAGGGAGAGAACGAACACUAAACGCUCAAACCACACAAACCAAAAAAAGAAAGAGAGCGCUUUGGUCAAAGGGGAAUAGAGAGAGGUCUACCUGUCUCUCUCUACCCCGACCUCUCUCUCUCCCUCCCUCUCUUGGUCUGUCGUUCAGCAGAAAAACGGAUCGAUAAAGAGUUGAAGCUCUUCGCACCAAGUGACUCCUUGUAAAUGGGUACUUUUCUGUGGGGUGAAAUGGAGAAAACCUAACCAACUCUUUGUUUAAAGGUAGAAAAUUAAAGUUCUGUCUAAAUGGAUCUAUCUGUCUGAUGAAGCGUAAAGUACUCUGUAACCUUAACAAAAUUACCAUCACUAUGUUCCCAUUGUUUUAAAGGGCCUUCCUUUCCUUGUCGCUCUCAGCAAGUCCAUGUUUCACAAGUAGGGAGGAAGGAACAGUCAUUUAACAGUAUGGGGACAUUGUGUAGUAGGUGUUGAUGUCACAGUCCCCACACAGUAUAAUGACCCAUGUCGCUAGACUUGUACAUUGCAAAAGUGCACAAUUGUUACAGUUUUACUCAGUUUAUGAUUUAGCUGACAUGUUUUACCAUAUUGACAAUUGACAGGGGUAUUAUGCAGUCCUGGUAACUUUCAGAUGUUAUUGGUUUGAAGCUGACUUUCAGUGACAGUUUCCUCUCAGAGCAGUACAGUGCUUAGUCCGCAGCACAUCCUGUUGUAGCUGAUUUGACACCCUGCUGGCAGGGAGAGAUAAAUGUAUCUCCUAGGACAGGGUUUCCCAAACUUGGUCCUGGGGACUCCAAGGGGUGCAUGUUUUGGUUUUUGCCCUAGCACUACAUGGCUCAUUCAAAUAAUCAACUCAUCAUCAAGCUUUGAUUAUUUGUAUCAGCUGUGUAGUGGUAGGGCAAAAACCUAAACGUGUACCCCUUGGAGUGCCCAGGACCGUGUUUGGGAAACCCUGCCCUAGGGACAAACCAUGUAUUUUCUAAUACGAAAUGCCCACAAAUUGACAAAUUAGACUAGCGGUAUCUCUAUUUCCUGAAAUGAUCCAUGAUUUUACAUGCAGAAACAUCUCCCCAGAAUAACAAUGUGGAGAUGUUGGUGAGACGUUGGAGUAGUCAUGAGUGAAGGCAAUCCUUGAACUGUUUUUGACAACAUGUCAGAUUAUGGGGCUGUAUGCUGUAUGCGUCUUAUUGUUCUCUAUCAAACUCAUUGACAAAUGUCCUAAGAGCUGCUGUACCAAUAGAGACAGAAAUGUUCCUUGUACCAUAACUUUGCCUCCUGGAAGAAAAAAAAAACAUUUCAAACAC
Molecule: long non-coding RNA, 2116 nt
Organism: Coregonus clupeaformis (lake whitefish)
Lineage: Eukaryota; Metazoa; Chordata; Actinopteri; Salmoniformes; Salmonidae
Exons: 2
Source: RefSeq, a predicted model, not a curated record